Molecule: long non-coding RNA, 151 nt
Organism: Pipistrellus kuhlii (Kuhl's pipistrelle)
Lineage: Eukaryota; Metazoa; Chordata; Mammalia; Chiroptera; Vespertilionidae
Exons: 3
Source: RefSeq, a predicted model, not a curated record
AGGAAAAGUUGAAUGAGCCAAAACCGGGUUCGCUCGGUAGAUAGAGCAUCAGCCUGUGGACUGAAAGGUCCCAGGUUCGAUUCCGGUCAAGGGCAUGUACCUUGGUUGCGGCCACAUCCCCAGUAAGAGGUGUGCAGGAGGCAGUUGAUUG